GUGGGUAUAGCUCAGUGGUAAAGUGUAUGUUUAACAUGCAUGAGGUCCUGGGUUCAAUCCCCAAUAUCUCUA
RNAcentral lists this transfer RNA (72 nucleotides) under Camelus bactrianus (Bactrian camel). It matches the Rfam family "tRNA". Rfam says of the family: Transfer RNA (tRNA) molecules are approximately 80 nucleotides in length. Their secondary structure includes four short double-helical elements and three loops (D, anti-codon, and T loops). Lineage: Eukaryota; Metazoa; Chordata; Mammalia; Artiodactyla; Camelidae. The record is from Rfam by way of RNAcentral. RNAcentral also lists the same sequence under 1 other name.